CGAAAGCCUGACGGAGCAAUACCGCGUGGGGGAGGAAGGCCCUUGGGUUGUAAACCCCUUUUGUCAGGGAAGAACACAAUGACGGUACCUGACGAAUCAGCCUCGGCUAACUCCGUGCCAGCAGCCGCGGUAAGACGGAGGAGGCAAGCGUUAUCCGGAAUUAUUGGGCGUAAAGGGUUCGCAGGUGGUAGUGUAAGUCUGCUGUUAAAGGUCGGGGCUCAACCCCGAACAGGCAGUGGAAACUACAGAACUAGAGUGCGGUAGGGGCAGAGGGAAUUCCUGGUGUAGCGGUGAAAUGCGUAGAGAUCAGGAAGAACACCGGUGGCGAAAGCGCUCUGCUAGGCCGCAACUGACACUCAGGGACGAAAGC
RNAcentral lists this ribosomal RNA (370 nucleotides) under uncultured cyanobacterium. RNAcentral describes it as "bacterial SSU rRNA". It matches the Rfam family "Bacterial small subunit ribosomal RNA", at positions 376 to 760 of the family's 1533-position model. Lineage: Bacteria; Bacillati; Cyanobacteriota. The record is from RNAcentral.